Long non-coding RNA from Solanum stenotomum, 1700 nucleotides. RefSeq lists it as uncharacterized. The record is from RefSeq and is a predicted model, not a curated record. The transcript is spliced from 4 exons. NCBI's taxonomy places the organism in Eukaryota, Viridiplantae, Streptophyta, Magnoliopsida, Solanales, Solanaceae.
UGCAAUAAUGCUAUCAUUCGGUGCUGUAGUACCAUCGAUAAUGUCCUUUGAUCCAAUCAGUCCCAGAAACAGUUAUAGAGUUUGAAACCAGGCGUUUGCCUGUCAGGCCUACAAUUACUCCGGUGGAUCCUCCACCAUCGGAAUCGAAGGAGAUAACAGUGACAGAUGCUCUUCCGUUGGAAAUUACUCCUGAGAUGGCGAUUGUUCUGAGGAAUCCUCAAAGAAGGAAUAAUAACUGGUGCCAUCCUUGUUUAGGGAUAAACUCCAAUUCCAACCGUAGAUUUUUGGAUUUUGAUAUCAGAAGAGCUGCUGUUCCUACUCUUCCACAAAUAACUGCUCCUGUUCCAUCCAUCCGCCGGCGAUCAACAUCGGCUACUGGAAAACCUUGAAAAACAAAUUGAUGAGUAAACUAAAGGCACACUCCACAGAGGAAACCUCAUUGCUUUAGAAGAGAACUAUGAAAUUAAUAAAUGUCGAGGUAUUAUGCUAUCCUAUUUUCAGCUUCGUGGGUUUUUAUGUUUCAAUCGUUGUUCUAUUUCUGAUCUUCUGCUAUUUUUUCUGACUGAAGCCUUAUGGGUUGGGUUCUUCGCCGCUACACUUAUGAACAGACUGACAAUGGCGAAUCAUGGGGAUUGCUUAACAUCCUAAACCUAGGAAUUAUCAAGGGCUAUCAGUAUUAGGAGUUUAUCAAGGUUAUCGGUAUGAGAAGAGUGUGUACAUUGCCCUUUUUUGUUCAAUUCUUGAUCAGUACGAGUGUUUGCUUAACAAAAUGUUGGGCCCGAGACCAUACAUACCUAACUAGUUUACCUUCCAUUGAAUGGGAAAAAAACUGAACCAGAAUUCCCGUGGGAAGUCCUUUUGUUGCCUAAAACAAUCUUAUGGUCCAUCAUUAUGUAAUCCCUACUCGAGUUCUACACAUACAAAAAUAGAUGUAUUCAACUAAAAGGAGCCUUCAGCAGGCAGUGAGGGUACUUGUCAAUCACUAUGUAAUGUACUUAACUCCGCUUCUGCUUGUGAUUACUAUUUGUACAUGAGUCAAGGAACUCAAAAUCACAACACAUUCACCCUUUAUUUACUAGUACUGAUGAAUUACUUAAUAGUAAAAUGUAUCCCUUGUACUUAAGAGGUUAUACAAUCUGUAAUGUUAAUGACUGGCUUUUGUUGAAGAAUGACUAUGAUGAUUGAACGUCUGUAAUUCGUUUGUCUGCAGGCGUGUGGCGUUAUUAUGAGAAACAACCUUUGGUUAUCCAUCCCAAAUAUCAUUAUGAAGAGAGAAAAACUGCUGACACUUACUACACUUCAUCUCAAUUUUCAUUAGGAUAGUUGAAGUAUGAAGUUAUUCAUAUGUAUUUAUACUUAUCUGCAGGUCCUCAGGAUGAUCUAGGCGGUAUGGAUGUAGCAAGAAAGGUGGCCAGGAGAUAUACACUUGUUGUUACGCGAAACAACCUUUGGUUAUCCUAGCUGAUAUCCGGCCUUGACAUUCAAAAUUUAUUCCCAGUAACAUCUAAAUAAAUGGUAAAAUGUAUGUCCAAACAGGGGCUGAUCUACAUGGUGGUGAACCCCGUUCCUCCUUAACUUUAGGUUAGUAUCAUAAUCAGAGCCCAAAUAGAUUGUUCACGUCCUACAUGAAUCAGACUAUUAACUGAUGUGCAAAUUUGGAAAUGUUAAUGUGAAGAAAUUUACAAUAUUUUAACGUGUAA